This is a non-coding RNA of Arachis ipaensis, 350 nucleotides long. The record is from RefSeq and is a predicted model, not a curated record. Lineage: Eukaryota; Viridiplantae; Streptophyta; Magnoliopsida; Fabales; Fabaceae.
CUUGGGCCUCACAAAAGAGAGAAAAACCCAACAACACAAUGAAUAUAGCAGCUUAUUUAACUCUGAUUGGUGCUGCUCAAGGUUUGAGAUUUCAAUUUUUGUCCUUCACAUGAGAGAAGGUUGUGUAGCCAUGAAUGCACCAAUGGAAUAAUCUUAUCCGCACCUCCAAGAAACAAAGCUUCAGAUGUGGCUCGUGUUAUUAACUCUCAUUUUGUACUUGAAUUCAUCCUUUGCACUGUGAAGUUUGACUUAGAGUUGAGAUUAUGAUUACCUCUCAUAAUCGUAGAACAUAAAUUAGUAGAAUCUAGAACUGUUUAGUAGGAUUGGGACACAAGGUUGAAGUUGAUCUC